This 496-nucleotide ribosomal RNA is filed under the name uncultured bacterium. Its description in RNAcentral is "bacterial SSU rRNA". It matches the Rfam family "Bacterial small subunit ribosomal RNA", at positions 28 to 523 of the family's 1533-position model. The record is from RNAcentral.
GAUGAACGCUAGCGGCAGGCCUAACACAUGCAAGUCGAGGGGUAGAAUUAGCUUGCUAAUUUGAGACCGGCGCACGGGUGCGUAACGCGUAUGCAAUCUACCUUGUACAGGGGGAUAGCCCAGAGAAAUUUGGAUUAAUACCCCAUGGUAUAAUUAAUUUGCAUGAAUUGAUUAUUAAAGUUCCAACGGUACAAGAUGAGCAUGCGUCCCAUUAGCUAGUUGGUGUGGUAACGGCAUACCAAGGCGACGAUGGGUAGGGGUCCUGAGAGGGAGAUCCCCCACACUGGUACUGAGACACGGACCAGACUCCUACGGGAGGCAGCAGUGAGGAAUAUUGGUCAAUGGUCGGAAGACUGAACCAGCCAUGCCGCGUGCAGGAAGAAGCAUCUAUGGUGUGUAAACUGCUUUUGUACGGGAAGAAACACUCCUACGUGUAGGAGCUUGACGGUACCGUAAGAAUAAGGAUCGGCUAACUCCGUGCCAGCAGCCGCGGUAA